Molecule: long non-coding RNA, 1261 nt
Filed under: Coturnix japonica (Japanese quail)
Lineage: Eukaryota; Metazoa; Chordata; Aves; Galliformes; Phasianidae
Description: lncRNA (ENSCJPG00005000106.1)
Source: RNAcentral
CAGUAUUGAUACCAAAGUGCAGCCUUUGUCUGUGCAGUUGCUGUAUGACUGCUGGACUUUGUUUUUCCUGUAGCAGAGCGAUAGCAGGGAAGGCCAGCAAGGAGCAGCAGCAGCUGCAAGGGGUGCAAAGUUCUGGAGUGUGACAGAGCCUUGGCAGCAGCGGCUGGUGCUUGUUUUCCCUCACUUUUGGUGGAAAAGUGUGUCAAUGGAUGUCAAGGUCUAUGGUCUCCCGAGAGCCUUCCAUUUAAGCAACGAAUGGAGUGCAGUGCAACAGAAACAGGACUGUAACGAGUGGAUCUAUAAACUAAUUGCAAAACAUAUCAUGUUGCUCCUUGGAUGAAGAGUGGAUGAACAGCAACGAGCAUCAAGGUGAGGCCCUUCUUCUUAGAAAGGUAAUAUUUAGCUUGCCUGGGACAGCUGUCACUGUGUUAGCUCAAGAAUCAUCACAGUGAAAACCUUCAGAGGAUGUUAAACAUGUCCAAAAAGUUGUUCCAGUUCCCCACGAGUAUUACAUCUUUUGCCUUUGGGCAUUUGUAGGUCAGCAGAAAUAACAGCUGCACACUGCUUUCUGAUUUCCAUAAAGAAACAAGGCUUCUUUUUCACCUAAGUCUUUCAAAUAAUCAGAAUAUUCUCUAGUGAUUUACUAAUAGAAUUCUACAACAACUUGUUUCCUAAAUUCCAUUAUGUGCAGUUUCUUAAAGACUACCAGAAUGAGUAAAAGAAACAGUCAGAUUUCUAGAAGUUUCCUAAAUUAUGAAGUCUGCUUUUCUGUAGGAAAAUGAUAUUUCUGGUGAGUUAAAUGUUGUGUUUCCGGUGUUUGUGAUCAAGGAGACACUGGGGCUUGUUUGUAUCAUCCAGCCUUUCUCAAAGCUUCAGCCAUCAGGAAGUCUGAAGAUGAGUCAGGUACAAAAGGGUACAGUCUGUGCAAGUUUAAACUCAUUGAGAUGUGAAAGAUAAAGCAAUCAAAUUCCAUCUUCUAGAUGGAGAGUUUUCUCCACUGGGCACAGAUGCAAAAAAUCCCCCCCAAAUCUGUAAACUACACAAAGAUGUAUUUGUGUGCGUUUAAUAUGGGACACAUAUAGCUUGGAAAAUAUAUUGCUGAUGAAAAAUACAACUAUUCUGAAGAGCACAAAAAAACCCCAAACCCCAAAAACAAAAAGCCCAAACAAAAAGAAACAGCAGCAACAAAAAAAAGAAGUAACUGAACAGAGCUAUCAAUAAUAGCAAAAGGGUAAUUAGCUAUGAAAUUGAGAAUAAAAAU